RNAcentral lists this ribosomal RNA (271 nucleotides) under uncultured bacterium. Its description in RNAcentral is "partial 16S ribosomal RNA". It matches the Rfam family "Bacterial small subunit ribosomal RNA", at positions 82 to 354 of the family's 1533-position model. The record is from RNAcentral.
UCUAUGUCGGCGACCGGCGCACGGGUGCGUAACGCGUAUGCAACCUACCCAUUACAGGGGGAUAACACUGAGAAAUCGGUACUAAUACCCCAUAACAUCCAGGGAGGCAUCUUCUUGGGUUGAAAACUCCGGUGGUAAUGGAUGGGCAUGCGUUGUAUUAGUUAGUUGGUGGGGUAACGGCUCACCAAGACAACGAUACAUAGGGGGACUGAGAGGUUAACCCCCCACAUUGGUACUGAGACACGGACCAAACUCCUACGGGAGGCAGCAG